GAGCCAGACUCCUACGGGAGGCAGCAGUGGGGGAUAUUGCACAAUGGGGGGAACCCUGAUGCAGCGACGCCGCGUGAAGGAAGAAGUAUCUCGGUAUGUAAACUUCUAUCAGCAGGGAAGAAAAUGACGGUACCUGACUAAGAAGCCCCGGCUAACUACGUGCCAGCAGCCGCGGUAAUACGUAGGGGGCAAGCGUUAUCCGGAUUUACUGGGUGUAAAGGGGGCGCAGACGGCAGCGCAAGCCAGGAGUGAAAGCCCGGGGCCCAACCCCGGGACUGCUCUUGGAACUGCGCGGCUGGAGUGCAGGAGGGGCAGGCGGAAUUCCUGGUGUAGCGGUGAAAUGCGUAGAUAUCAGGAGGAACACCGGUGGCGAAGGCGGCCUGCUGGACUGCGACUGACGUUGAGGCCCGAAAGCGUGGGGAGCAAACAGGAUUAGAUACCCCUGUA
RNAcentral lists this ribosomal RNA (447 nucleotides) under uncultured bacterium. RNAcentral describes it as "partial 16S ribosomal RNA". It matches the Rfam family "Bacterial small subunit ribosomal RNA", at positions 328 to 792 of the family's 1533-position model. The record is from RNAcentral.